RNAcentral lists this ribosomal RNA (253 nucleotides) under uncultured bacterium. RNAcentral's name for it is "partial 16S ribosomal RNA". It matches the Rfam family "Bacterial small subunit ribosomal RNA", at positions 524 to 776 of the family's 1533-position model. The record is from RNAcentral.
UACGGGGGGUGCGAGCGUUGUCCGGAAUCAUUGGGCGUAAAGAGCGCGUAGGCGGCUCGGUAAGUCCGCUGUGAAAGUCAAAGGCUCAACCUUUGAAUGUCAGUGGAAACUGCCGGGCUAGAGUCCGGAAGAGGCGAGUGGAAUUCCUGGUGUAGCGGUGGAAUGCGCAGAUAUCAGGAGGAACACCAACGGCGAAGGCAGCUCGCUGGGACGGUACUGACGCUGAGGCGCGAAAGCGUGGGGAGCGAACAGG